This 270-nucleotide ribosomal RNA is filed under the name uncultured archaeon. RNAcentral describes it as "partial 16S ribosomal RNA". It matches the Rfam family "Archaeal small subunit ribosomal RNA", at positions 477 to 747 of the family's 1478-position model. The record is from RNAcentral.
CAGCUCUUCAAGUGGUCAGGAUGAUUAUUGGGCCUAAAGCAUCCGUAGCCGGCGCUGUAAGUUUUCGGUUAAAUCUGUACGCUCAACGUACAGGCUGCCGGGAAUACUGCAGCGCUAGGGAGUGGGAGAGGUAGACGGUACUCGGUAGGAAGGGGUAAAAUCCUUUGAUCUAUUGAUGACCACCUGUGGCGAAGGCGGUCUACCAGAACACGUCCGACGGUGAGGGAUGAAAGCUGGGGGAGCAAACCGGAUUAGAUACCCGAGUAGUCC